RNAcentral lists this small nuclear RNA (125 nucleotides) under Equus caballus (horse). RNAcentral's name for it is "U4 spliceosomal RNA". It matches the Rfam family "U4 spliceosomal RNA". Rfam says of the family: U4 small nuclear RNA (U4 snRNA) is a component of the major U2-dependent spliceosome. The structure of U4 snRNA from yeast and human has been reported. Lineage: Eukaryota; Metazoa; Chordata; Mammalia; Perissodactyla; Equidae. The record is from Rfam by way of RNAcentral.
CCUCUUGCACAUUGGCAGUAUCAUAGCCAAUGAGAUUUAUCCGAGGCACGAUUAUUGCCAAUUGAAAACUUUUCCCAAACCUCUCUGUGUACUCGCUUUGGUCAGCUCACCUACACCAGAUGGUG